This 202-nucleotide ribosomal RNA is filed under the name uncultured bacterium. RNAcentral's name for it is "partial 16S ribosomal RNA". It matches the Rfam family "Bacterial small subunit ribosomal RNA", at positions 573 to 774 of the family's 1533-position model. The record is from RNAcentral.
GGGCGGUUAUACAAGUAGGAUGUGAAAGCCCGGGGCUCAACCUCAGAACUGCAUUCUAAACUGUGUGACUAGAGUAUUGCAGGGGGAGACGGAAUUUCAGGUGUAGCGGUGGAAUGCGUAGAUAUCUGAAAGAACACCAAAGGCGAAGGCAGUCUCCUGGGCAAAUACUGACGCUCAUAUGCGAAAGCGUGGGUAGCAAACA